Long non-coding RNA from Gavialis gangeticus (Gharial), 133 nucleotides. RefSeq lists it as uncharacterized. NCBI's taxonomy places the organism in Eukaryota, Metazoa, Chordata, Crocodylia, Gavialidae. The transcript is spliced from 5 exons. The record is from RefSeq and is a predicted model, not a curated record.
GCUUUGAUUCAUAGAGCAAAAAAAAGUUUAAGUGGUCCGCCGAGACCCUCAGUGAUUUUCAAGUGGUCCACGGAAAAAAAAGUUUGAGAACCACUGCUCUAGGCUUAGAUCACACUUCAGUGUUUACACUUCU